AUUGAACGCUGGCGGCAUGCCUUACACAUGCAAGUCGAACGGUAACAGGUCUUCGGAUGCUGACGAGUGGCGAACGGGUGAGUAAUACAUCGGAACGUGCCCGAUCGUGGGGGAUAACGAGGCGAAAGCUUUGCUAAUACCGCAUACGAUCUACGGAUGAAAGCGGGGGAUCUUCGGACCUCGCGCGGACGGAGCGGCCGAUGGCAGAUUAGGUAGUUGGUGGGAUAAAAGCUUACCAAGCCGACGAUCUGUAGCUGGUCUGAGAGGAUGAUCAGCCACACUGGGACUGAGACACGGCCCAGACUCCUACGGGAGGCAGCAGUGGGGAAUUUUGGACAAUGGGCGAAAGCCUGAUCCAGCCAUGCCGCGUGCAGGAUGAAGGCCUUCGGGUUGUAAAACUGCUUUUGUACGGAACGAAAAGCCUCUUUCUAAUAAAAGAAGGGGUCAAG
Molecule: ribosomal RNA, 449 nt
Filed under: Diaphorobacter nitroreducens
Lineage: Bacteria; Pseudomonadati; Pseudomonadota; Betaproteobacteria; Burkholderiales; Comamonadaceae
Description: bacterial SSU rRNA
Rfam family: Bacterial small subunit ribosomal RNA
Source: RNAcentral